This 357-nucleotide ribosomal RNA is filed under the name uncultured bacterium. RNAcentral's name for it is "bacterial SSU rRNA". It matches the Rfam family "Bacterial small subunit ribosomal RNA", at positions 917 to 1269 of the family's 1533-position model. The record is from RNAcentral.
GGGCCCGCACAAGCGGUGGAGCAUGUGGUUUAAUUCGAAGCAACGCGCAGAACCUUACCCAGGCUUGACAUCCUCAGAACCUCUUGGAAACAAGAGGGUGCCCUCUCACGAGGGAAUUGAGUGACAGGUGCUGCAUGGCUGUCGUCAGCUCGUGCUGUGAGGUGUUCGGUUAAGUCCGGCAACGAGCGCAACCCCUGUCGCUAGUUACCAGCAUUUAGUUGGGGACUCUAGCGAGACUGCCGGUGAUAAACCGGAGGAAGGUGGGGACGACGUCAAGUCCUCAUGGCCCUUAUGUCUGGGGCUACACACGUGCUACAAUGGCAUCUACAGAAGGCAGCGAAGUCGCAAGGCGGAGCA